CGAGGCGGAGGGGGCAACCCCUCCAGUCGAGUGGCGGACGGGUGAGUAACACGUGGGUAACCUGCCCGGAAGUGGGGAACACCUCGGGGAAACUCGAGCUAAUACCGCAUGACAUCUUCGGGACGAAAGUCCUGUCGAUCAAAGCGGGGUCGCAAGGCCUCGCGCUACCGGAUGGGCCCGCGCCCGAUUAGCUAGUUGGCGAGGUAAUGGCUCACCAAGGCUUCGAUCGGUAACCGGCCUGAGAGGGCGAUCGGUCACACCGGAACUGAGACACGGUCCGGACUCCUACGGGAGGCAGCAGUGGGGAAUCUUGCGCAAUGGGCGAAAGCCUGACGCAGCAACGCCGCGUGGAGGAUGAAGGCCCUUGGGUUGUAAACUCCUGUCGGCUGGGAAGAAAUCGGCGGGUGCGAAUACCACCCGCCGUUGACUGUACCAGCAAAGGAAGCCCCGGCUAACUCUGUGCCAGCAGCCGCGGUAAUACAGAGGGGGCCAGCGUUAUUCGGAAUUAUUGGGCGUAAAGGGCGCGUAGGCGGCCUCGCGUGUCUUCCGUGAAAUCCCUCGGCUCAACUGAGGACGUGCGGAAGAAACUGCGAGGCUCGAGUCCGGGAGAGGGGGGUGGAAUUCCCAGUGUAGCGGUGAAAUGCGUAGAUAUUGGGAGGAACACCGGUGGCGAAGGCGGCCCCCUGGACCGGUACUGACGCUGAGGCGCGAAAGCGUGGGGAGCAAACGGGAUUAGAUACCCCGGUAGUCCACGCCGUAAACGAUGGGCACUUGGUGUCGCGGGUAUCGA
RNAcentral lists this ribosomal RNA (790 nucleotides) under uncultured Bacillota bacterium. RNAcentral's name for it is "bacterial SSU rRNA". It matches the Rfam family "Bacterial small subunit ribosomal RNA", at positions 67 to 835 of the family's 1533-position model. The record is from RNAcentral. Lineage: Bacteria; Bacillati; Bacillota.